GGGCUCACACAAGCGGUGGAGCAUGUGGUUCAAUUCGAAGCAACGCGCAGAACCUUACCUGGGCUUGACAUGCCAGGAUUAUCCCGGUGAAAGCCGGGUAGGCCCGCAAGGGUACAACUGGUACAGGUGCUGCAUGGCUGUCGUCAGCUCGUGUCGUGAGAUGUCGGGUUAAGUCCCUUAACGAGCGAAACCUUUGCCCUUAGUUACCAGCGGGUUAUGCCGGGGACUCUAAGGGGACUGCCGGUGUCAAACCGGAGGAAGGUGGAGAUGACGUCAAGUCCUCAUGGCCUUUAUGCCCAGGGCCACACACGUGCUACAAUGGCGUCGACAAAGCGACCCGAGAGCGCAAGCUGGAGGAAAUCGCAUCAAAUGACGCCCCAGUUCAGAUCGGAGGCUGCAACCCGCCUCCGUGAAGUUGGAAUCGCUAGUAAUCGCGGAUCAGCUACGCCGCGGUGAAUGUGUUCCUGAGCCUU
Molecule: ribosomal RNA, 473 nt
Filed under: uncultured bacterium
Lineage: Bacteria
Description: bacterial SSU rRNA
Rfam family: Bacterial small subunit ribosomal RNA
Source: RNAcentral